UACGGAGGAUGCAAGCGUUAUCCGGAUUUAUUGGGUUUAAAGGGUGCGUAGGCGGUAAAAUAAGUCAGCGGUGAAAGUUUGAGGCUCAACCUUAAAAUUGCCGUUGAAACUGUUUCACUUGAGUGUAGAUGAAGUAGGCGGAAUUCGUGGUGUAGCGGUGAAAUGCAUAGAUAUCACGAAGAACUCCAAUUGCGCAGGCAGCUUACUAAGGUACCACUGACGCUGAAGCACGAAAGCGUGGGUAUCAAACAGG
Molecule: ribosomal RNA, 253 nt
Filed under: uncultured bacterium
Lineage: Bacteria
Description: partial 16S ribosomal RNA
Rfam family: Bacterial small subunit ribosomal RNA
Source: RNAcentral